Molecule: ribosomal RNA, 253 nt
Filed under: uncultured bacterium
Lineage: Bacteria
Description: partial 16S ribosomal RNA
Rfam family: Bacterial small subunit ribosomal RNA
Source: RNAcentral
UACGUAGGGGGCGAGCGUUGUCCGGAAUUAUUGGGCGUAAAGCGCGCGCAGGCGGUCCUUUAAGUCUGAUGUGAAAGCCCACGGCUCAACCGUGGAGGGUCAUUGGAAACUGGGGGACUUGAGUACAGAAGAGAAGAGUGGAAUUCCACGUGUAGCGGUGAAAUGCGUAGAGAUGUGGAGGAACACCAGUGGCGAAGGCGACUCUUUGGUCUGUAACUGACGCUGAGGCGCGAAAGCGUGGGGAGCAAACAGG